GGGGAAUAUUGCACAAUGGGCGAAAGCCUGAUGCAGCGACGCCGCGUGCGGGAUGAAGGCCUUCGGGUUGUAAACCGCUUUUAAUUGGGAGCAAGCGAGAGUGAGUGUACCUUUUGAAUAAGCACCGGCUAACUACGUGCCAGCAGCCGCGGUAAUACGUAGGGUGCAAGCGUUAUCCGGAAUUAUUGGGCGUAAAGAGCUCGUAGGCGGUUUGUCACGCCUGGUGUGAAAGUCCAUCGCUUAACGGUGGAUCUGCGCCGGGUACGGGCAGGCUAGAGUGCAGUAGGGGAGAUUGGAAUUCCCGGUGUAACGGUGGAAUGUGUAGAUAUCGGGAAGAACACCAAUGGCGAAGGCAGAUCUCUGGGCUGUUACUGACGCUGAGGAGCGAAAGCAUGGGGAGCGAACAGGAUUAGAUACCCUGGUAGUCCAUGCCGUAAACGGUGGAUGCUGGAUGUGGGACCCUUCCACGGGUUCCGUGUCGGAGCUAACGCGUUA
Molecule: ribosomal RNA, 495 nt
Filed under: uncultured bacterium
Lineage: Bacteria
Description: partial 16S ribosomal RNA
Rfam family: Bacterial small subunit ribosomal RNA
Source: RNAcentral